Molecule: long non-coding RNA, 3389 nt
Organism: Lagopus leucura (white-tailed ptarmigan)
Lineage: Eukaryota; Metazoa; Chordata; Aves; Galliformes; Phasianidae
Exons: 3
Source: RefSeq, a predicted model, not a curated record
CCAUUUUGGGGAAAAAAAAAAUUAUGACAAACAAAAAGCAAAAAAAUAAUUUUCAAAACUGCUACAAAUUAGAAUAUUCCUUUGAGAAGAAUAACAGCCUUUAUAUUCUCCCAGUUGCCUAUCUUUCUAGCUGCAUCACAUAUUUCUCUUAUUUAUGUCCCCUGUCUAUUGAUUGUGGAUCAUAUUCAGUAUUGUAUGUUGUUUUGUGAAGAGGUGGUAGAAGCUCUUUCUGAGAGCUUAAAGCAAAGCUGAAAAUAAGGCAGUUACUGACUGUAUGUAACAUAUGUCAUGUGACUAAGAAAAUGAGCUCUCUGAGAAGGAGAGGCUAAGUUGCUCUGUGGAGCAGCAGAUUGCUUUGAGAAAGUGAAAUAUUCAAGAUGCUUUGAUGCUGGGAGCCUCCUCACAACAGAAGAAUGUUCCUUUGGCCUCACAGAGUUAGCUUGAGUCCUGCACAUGCAUGUAACAGAGUAGAUUAUUUUGCCUAGUUGUGUCAUCUUUUCUUCUUGGGGGAACAGUUCAUGCCUUCAGUAUAGCAGGCAGUAGGGCCUGCUCUGCAGUUGUUCUGCACAUAUGACUUCACUUUCACCAUCAGAGUAACUGAGUGUUUAAGACCAAGGUAGGUUUUUAUUUUCCAUACAUGUUUGCAAACACAGGGCUGUGUGGCUCAAUUGGUAAAUUGAGCACCAAGAGCCACUGAAAUAUGGAUCACUUACCUGUUGGGUGAGGUCCCUGCUGAGGCAGCUCCAUCAUGCCUCCUCCUCAUGUUAACAGCCCUAGCUUCAGGGGUCUCCAGAGAGCUUUGUCUACUUGCAGGAGCUAAGGAUUUGGUCCAGAAUAUACACAAGUAGGUAAACAGCUUGUUUUUUGUUCAUUUGCUUUAAUGUAAUGACUUUUCUGCAGACAAUAAUUUGUAACCAACUUAAGCACUGGUAACCUUAAGCAACAUUUAAUUGGUUUUCAUGCAUCUUAGCCAUCUAACAGGUUUUAUUUGGCUUUCCACAACAAAAAAUAUACUUCUGGUUUUGUUCUUUUUCCAAAUGCUUCCCCGUCCUUCUCCAGACAUCAAAGAGAAUAACAAAACUCCAAUAAAAGGUGGAGGUGUUUUGUUUUGUUUUUUUAAUCUCUUUUUUUUUUUUUUUUUAAAAGAAACGAGAAGGUAAUGUAUGAAUAAAGUGUGUGAUGUAAGGAAAUUAUUAUUACAUCCUUCUAUCAAAAGAGGUUCUACAGUGGAACAUGCAGGACUGGUGAUUUCCUUAGAACUUUCCAAUAUACAUUUGUGUUGUAUAUAAUGUAUGUUGUUUCAGGUUCUCCAAAGGCUUGUGAAAAUGUGUAAUCUGUGCUUGAUGAAUCUCAUUGAUCCCUGAUAAAUUUUCUCUUUUUGAAAGUGAAGACAUGUGAGGUUAGUUCUGUAGGUUUUACCAUUGUUCUUUCUACAGAUCUCAGUCCUGAAAACCCAGCAGUGGAUUUGGAAGUAAAGGUGAAUUGUUCCUGUCCUAUAUCCUUUGACAGCAAAAUUCUGCACGCUAACAUUCACUUGUAGCUAUCAUGAUGUCACUGUUGUAAGUCAGUAAGGUUGUACAGGUGGACACUUUAGUUUGGGGGGAAAAAAUUAACAAAAAGAUCCAUCCUGUAUCUUAGCCAUAAAAUACUGACCCUUGCAGGCUGAUUUCUGUGAAUUCAUCCUCUGGAAUGGCACUAAUGCAGCAUACGUGGGAAGUUAUGAGGCUCCAGCAAACCCACAUUUAAGCAAAGAAUCAGCACAGUCUACUAGGAAAUGCUGAGAAAAACAAAACUGAAUCCAACCAAAUGGUGGCAGAGGUCCUAUAUAGGCUUGAUGUGUAUGUAGGGCCUCCUUUCAGUAUCGAAGGGGCUGUAAGGAGGGGGACAGACUCUUUAGCAGGGUCUGCUGUGACAGGACGAGGGGAAAUGGUUUCACACUAAAAGACAGGAGAUUUAGAUUGGACGUAAGGAGGAAGUGUUUUACACUAAGGGUGGUGAAGCACUGUCACAGGUCGCCCAGAGAGGUGGUGGAUGCCCCAUCCCUGGAGACAGCCAAGGUCAGGCUGGAGGGGCUCUGAGCUCCUGAUGGAGCUGUAGGUGUCCCUGUUCAGUGCAGGGCAGCUGGACCGGAUGGCCUGCAAAGGUUCCUUAAACUCAGAUGAUUCUAGGAUUCUGUGGUACUGCUGUUCAUUCGUGCAGUACCCCAAGCCCACGCAUGUCCAGGAGAGAAGUAUGCUGGUGUGAGGGCAGCAAUCCUCCCUCCCUCUUCCCUGGAUGGAGAAAGUACCCCGACACUGUCACUGUCUGGAGCUCAACUUCAUGCUCGCAAUUCAAAAUUGGAAGUCUGCUAUUUGAUGUCUUAAUCACCUUAUGCCUCUCAGAGGGCUAACCAGGGUACACUUUCGUUUGAAUUCAACAGAAGUGGCUUCAGAGGGGCAGAGUGAUUAUGAACAUGGUCUCCCAAAGAAGACCCAAGUUUUAGCCUCAAAGACUUCAAGCCUGAGACUUCAGCUUCCUAGAAGAAUGCCUAAGCCUAGGGUUAGGGAUAAGGAGCCACAGGCUGCUGAGCCACUGAAGGCACUUCCUGCCAUAAGCUUGGCUGGGAGGGCUUGGGUUGAGCUGCAUCCUCCUCUAAAUGCCUGCACCCUUCAAGGGCUGACAAUGUGGGUGUGCGUUGAGGCUCACAGCUGAGCUCAGAGCCAGUGGGUGACUGAGAGUUUCCAAACGCAGGACUGCAUUGUGAGUGGGUGUAACUCCUCUCACAGGCUGUGGGUGCAGCCCUCAGGCUCCACAAUGUUCACCAAACAUGUAAUGGCUAAGUUGUGGAUCCCGUCAUGCAUUCCCUGUUCCCUUGCAGGAUGCCCUCAGUAAGGAAGGCUUUUAUUAUUAUUAUUACAUUACUCAUUUCCUAGAAGAGGACUGCACUUUUAAAAAUAAAUGUGAUGAUGUCAGAGGGGAUGGAUGCAGCAGGCACAUCUGUGAGCUCCACUUCUUGCAGCUCCUCUUCAGCAGACACACACCUGUCAGCUUGGGAGGUCUCCUUCCCACAGACCAUCUCUGCAGAGGAGUUGCUGGGGCUGUACCCUGUUGCACGGGCUCUGUGUCUGAGGGUGGGAAGCACACAGUGUGGUACUGAAGCCGUGGCUGUGCACGAGGUGUGCUGCAAAGUCGGGAAGAAGGAAGCGCUCUGCUCUGUGCUGUGGGCACGCUCAGCUCAUAAGCCUGCUCUUCAGAGUGAAAUAAGCAUGGUACGGGAACAUUCUUGCUGGUUCUGGGCCUGUUCAGAAUGUAAACUCUGAAUGUAGAGUGGACGGAUGCAAGCUGCUUGUGUGUCUCUGUGAGCUAACUGGUGAUGGUUUAUUCCCACAAUAGCUCAAAUAAAUCCUUCU